This 853-nucleotide ribosomal RNA is filed under the name uncultured bacterium. RNAcentral describes it as "bacterial SSU rRNA". It matches the Rfam family "Bacterial small subunit ribosomal RNA", at positions 56 to 927 of the family's 1533-position model. The record is from RNAcentral.
UGCAGUCGACGGUGAACCGCCUUCGGGCGGGGAUCAGUGGCGAACGGGUGAGUAACACGUGGGUAACCUGCCCUCCACUCUGGGAUAACUCCGGGAAACCGGGGCUAAUACCGGAUACGACCUGAGGCGGCAUCGCCUCGGGUGGAAAGUUUUUCGGUGGAGGAUGGACCCGCGGCCUAUCAGCUUGUUGGUGGGGUAACGGCCUACCAAGGCGAUGACGGGUAGCCGGCCUGAGAGGGCGACCGGCCACACUGGGACUGAGACACGGCCCAGACUCCUACGGGAGGCAGCAGUGGGGAAUAUUGCACAAUGGGCGAAAGCCUGAUGCAGCGACGCCGCGUGAGGGAUGACGGCCUUCGGGUUGUAAACCUCUUUCAGCAGGGACGAAGCGCAAGUGACUGUACCUGCAGAAGAAGCACCGGCUAACUACGUGCCAGCAGCCGCGGUAAUACGUAGGGUGCGAGCGUUGUCCGGAAUUAUUGGGCGUAAAGAGCUUGUAGGUGGCUCGUUGCGUCGGGAGUGAAAACCCGCGGCUUAACCGCGGGCCUGCUUCCGAUACGGGCGAGCUAGAGUUCGGCAGGGGAGACUGGAAUUCCUGGUGUAGCGGUGGAAUGCGCAGAUAUCAGAGGAACACCGGUGGCGAAGGCGGGUCUCUGGGCCGAUACUGACACUGAGAAGCGAAAGCGUGGGGAGCGAACAGGAUUAGAUACCCUGGUAGUCCACGCCGUAAACGUUGGGAACUAGUGUGGGGUCCAUUCCACGGGCUCUGUGCCGCAGCUAACGCAUUAAGUUCCCCCCCUGGGGAGUACGGCCGCAAGGCUAAAACUCAAAGAAUUUGACGGGGGCCCGCCAA